Molecule: ribosomal RNA, 253 nt
Filed under: uncultured bacterium
Lineage: Bacteria
Description: partial 16S ribosomal RNA
Rfam family: Bacterial small subunit ribosomal RNA
Source: RNAcentral
UACGUAGGGUGCAAGCGUUGUCCGGAAUUAUUGGGCGUAAAGAGCUCGUAGGCGGUUUGUCGCGUCUGCUGUGAAAUCCGGAGGCUCAACCUCCGGCCUGCAGUGGGUACGGGCAGACUAGAGUGCGGUAGGGGAGAUUGGAAUUCCUGGUGUAGCGGUGAAAUGCGCAGAUAUCAGGAGGAACACCGAUGGCGAAGGCAGGUCUCUGGGCAUUAACUGACGCUGAGGAGCGAAAGCAUGGGGAGCGAACAGG